RNAcentral lists this ribosomal RNA (253 nucleotides) under uncultured bacterium. RNAcentral's name for it is "partial 16S ribosomal RNA". It matches the Rfam family "Bacterial small subunit ribosomal RNA", at positions 524 to 776 of the family's 1533-position model. The record is from RNAcentral.
UACAGAGGGGGCAAGCGUUAUUCGGAAUUAUUGGGCGUAAAGGGCGCGUAGGCGGCUAUUCAAGUGGCGGGUGAAAUCCCUCGGCUUAACCGAGGAACUGCCUGCCAGACUGGAUGGCUUGAGACCGGGAGAGGGAUGUGGAAUUCCAGGUGUAGCGGUGAAAUGCGUAGAUAUCUGGAGGAACACCGGUGGCGAAGGCGGCAUCCUGGACCGGCAUUGACGCUGAGGCGCGAAAGCUAGGGGAGCAAACGGG